CAGAUCGCCGCAAACCAACCGAAUAGCGCCAUCUGUGUUGGCACAGUGUGGAAAUAGUUCCGACCACUUUUCCCAUAGUUCCACGCGCGGUAUGUGUCAGAUCGGUUGGUUUGCGGCGAUCUGCGUGUCAAGGGUGAAAAGCAGCUAUUCUAACCAACCAAUUAACUAACUACGCAUGACUGGCACGCGUUGUUAGAGCUGUGCAAAAACACGUUUUCUCUGCUUCAAAUACUUAUUGUCUGCAACAUGAAGUUAAGUUUAUUAUUGGUAGUUUACACAUGCGUAAUUGCCUGUGCAAAUGCACGCGGUUUAAGGCAAGUUGAAAUAAUAAGCGCCACUGCUGGUGAGUAUUUUUGUUCAUUGUUUCAAC
This is a long non-coding RNA of Saccoglossus kowalevskii, 370 nucleotides long. The record is from RefSeq and is a predicted model, not a curated record. NCBI's taxonomy places the organism in Eukaryota, Metazoa, Hemichordata, Enteropneusta, Harrimaniidae.